GUGAGGAAUUUUCCGCAAUGGGCGAAAGCCUGACGGAGCGACGCCGUGUGGGUGAUGAAGGUUUUCGGAUCUUAAAGCCCUGUCAGCAGGAACGAUAUUGACGGUACCUGCAGAGGAAGCCCCGGCUAACUACGUGCCAGCAGCCGCGGUAAUACGUAGGGGGCAAACGUUGUCCGGAAUCAUUGGGCGUAAAGCGCUUGUAGGCGGUCGCAUAAGUCAGAUGUAAAAUCCCCACGCUUAACGUGGGUCCGCAUUUGAUACUGUGCGGCUAGAGGAAUGUAGAGGAAAGCGGAACUACCGGUGUAGCGGUGAAAUGCGUAGAUAUCGGUAGGAACACCAGUGGCGAAGGCGGCUUUCUGGACAUUUUCUGACGCUGAGAAGCGAAAGCUAGGGGAGCAAACGGGAUUAGAUACCCCUGUAGUCC
This 424-nucleotide ribosomal RNA is filed under the name uncultured bacterium. RNAcentral's name for it is "bacterial SSU rRNA". It matches the Rfam family "Bacterial small subunit ribosomal RNA", at positions 354 to 796 of the family's 1533-position model. The record is from RNAcentral.